UCAGCAAAGCCCAGCUGCCCGGGCCCAGCCCCUGCAGCUGCGGCAGUUCCAGGGAUGCCGGCCCUCAGAGGCCCCGAAGGGCUUUCACAUCCCCAACCGAUAAAAGAGGUCAUUCAUUUGCAUUACAGUAGAGUUUCUGAUUAACAAAAAGGUUCAAAGACAGUUAAGGCUGAGCCUCCAGAUCUAGAACCUGACGCCUCCAGUUCUGGUCUCAGUGAAUGAGCCGGUCCAGUUAGAACCUCGGGCCCAGCGCUGGGAGCCAAAGCGCUUCUUACACACCUUAAAAUCCCACAACUCAAGUUAGCCAGCAUUACCCAGCAUCCAACUGGAGCCCCAUUUUACAGACGGAGGAAGCCAUGGGUUAAGCGGUUUGCCCUAAGUCCCUGCAGGUGGUGAGCUGCGGAGCCGGGUUUUGGCCUCAGGUGCCUCCUCUCCCAAUCUGGAGUCGCUUCCACUUAAUUCUACCUGGCGGAAUCUCGCUUGGGCCUUGGGGCCGCAACUAGCUUCCCAGACUCCCUCAGGCUUCCAUAUUCUAUGACCUCAUUAAUGUCCACCAGAUUCACAGAAUUUAAAGCACCACUCCUACAUAUUCAUGGUCCAGAUAAUUUCGUUAAGUAUCUAUUGUACCUUAGAGUUAAAGACCUUUAGGGAAUAGCUCCUGGAGCUCAGAUCCAGAUUCCAAGGGGAACCUAAAUCUACAGUCAAGGCCUGAAUGGGAGGCUCCCAACAGGCAGAGGUGACUGGGAUGGGGGGCAUAAAGGCCCUGGGUGCCAGGAGAAAAAACAAGGAGUACUGAAGCAGGCAGAGUGUCAUGAAAGAGACCCAGCCUUGGAAGUCAGGAUUUGCUGAACCCUGGCAGCCCCCAUUAAGUAACUGCAUAACUCUACAUAAACCAGGUCAACUCUUUGGGCUUUAUUUGUGCCAUCUGUAAAAUGGGCAUCCUAAAGCAGCGUUGUCAAGGCUAAAGGAAGUAGGCCAUGGACAAUAUUUGGUAGCUCUCAUGUGAGCUAUUGGAGUUUAUUAUUAUUUAUUCUUCUGGAUAGAGAGCUGGCUCUCUGAGCACUAGGAAAUCGUGGAUUCUAGUCCCAACACUGACACAUCCUGGCUGUGGAACCCACAACAAAUCCUGAAAUCAUUCAGUACUUUCAUUCAAGCAACUAAGACUAAAUUGGAGAGAAAGUCCAGAUUGUAUUGGGAAAUACAAGUUCCCCAUAGAGGGAAAUCAUAGGUCCCAUUUAUAAGGAGAAAUCUCAGGUUCUGUUCCUAUCCCUAUGAAAACGUAAGCUUCCUGAGGACAAAGUUUAUUUUCUUCCCUUUGCCUUAGUACCCCAGAGGAGGUUUUUUUUUCUCCCUUUUGCCUUAGUAUCCCUGAGGACAGGGUUUAUUUCCUCCUCUUUGCCUUAGUACCCCUGAGGAUAGAGGUUUUUUCCCUCUCUUUUGCCUCAGUACCCCUGAGGACAGGGUUUAUUGUCUCCCCUUUGUUAGAGCUUCUUUUAAAAGGCUGAUCAUCUGAAUUACUAUUAUUGAAAUCCUCCCUUCUCAGAAGCCUCAACAAGGCAGGAACAUGACUUUGAAUUCUUCAAGGUCAACUAUACCCGUCCUUACAAAGCUGGAGGAAAAGCUCAGCCCAGCUCGGAGUUGAAACCAGGUUUCUGUCUGUCAAGGAUGAUUUAAAAAAAAAAAAAAAAAAAAAAAAAGACAAUUAGACUUUCAUAGCCCUGCCCAAAAGUUUCUUUAAACUGAAGAUCCCAGUAGAACAAAAAAAAUCCAUUGGCAAAAAUUCAGCUCCGGGACACGGUCAAAUCAAGUCAUACUCAAUGGUUUGGCCUGGAAAACCUCCAGGUCACACCCUUUUUAAAAUGAGGGAGCAGGGGGUGAAGUUCCCCCGAAGGGAUCAGAGCCGGGAUUCCACCCAGCAAAGAACGUGGGAGCAGGUUGUCAGGGCUAGGCCCUCCUUCUUCCCUUAGCCCCUGCCUCUGCUACUCUCCAGUCUAUGUCAGGUGUUUGCUUGUCGGAGCUGGGAGUCACCCACUGGCCUUCCAGCUCAUUACGUCCCCUCCCACGCCCACCCUCAACCAGAAGGAAAACCCAAGGCCCGACAGGGUAAAGAGUGCGCCCAGUCUCUCAGCGUCUCCCUGGGAGGGGGUCCGCAUGUCACUGUGGGCCAGGGGAAGAAGCAGGACAAAUCAGCGCCCCUAAGAGGCACCCUCCUGCUAGGAGAAACCCGGGCUUCCCAGAGCAGGGGACGUUGGAGCACUAAGUGCCCGGGGCGCCGGGAGGCGGCCUGACCGCUCGGGCCUCGGGCCAAGCCUCUCUUGGCUCAGUUUCCGUAUUUGCACCGGCGCACACGCUAACAGGACGGGACGCUCUGAAAGCUAGGCUCUGACCCGCAAAACAAACGCCAAACUGCGUGCCGCGAAAUUCGGAUCUCCCGCGGAAAAUAACGCCCUCGGAUUGGUCAGAACAACAGGCACAGGCUCCACCCACCGGAAAGGAUACAUUCUGCCAGGAGUCAAUUGCAACAGAACGUUCUUCCCUUAAAGGGACCGCACCCAUCAUCUCCUAGUGGGCGAGGAUCUGCGCCUUUCAUUCAGGACCGGAUUUGCCGGUGCUUAGGAACUCGCGGGCCAAUAGUUUGGGAAGAUUUGGUUCCCGAGGAAAUGACGGAGGCAGGUGGAGUGAGGCAGGACGGAACCCUGGCAUGAUGCGGGAGGGGGAGGGCAUCUUUGCCCUCCUCACCCCGGUCACCCUUGCAACAGUUUCCUUUCCUUCCCUCCCAAUUUUUUAUGAAUGUAAAUAAAGACAAAACAAAAAUAAAGUAGCAGGAGCAUCGUUAACCACA
This is a long non-coding RNA of Sarcophilus harrisii (Tasmanian devil), 2842 nucleotides long. RefSeq lists it as uncharacterized. The record is from RefSeq and is a predicted model, not a curated record. Lineage: Eukaryota; Metazoa; Chordata; Mammalia; Dasyuromorphia; Dasyuridae. The transcript has 2 exons.